GAAGCUUCCCACUUUCUCUAAAAAGAUUUCUCCUUAAACUCAAGUGGAACCAUGUCAUAUAUGAUUUGGCUUUCCUAUUUGGCUUUCCUUGCUCUGCAAGUAAAUCAAAUCCACCUCCAUUUCAUAUUUCAAAUCUGCACUAUAAAUAGGGAAGCAUCGAACCCUAAUGUUUCAUCAAGUAUCUCAAGCUUCCUCUCAUUUCUAGUUUUCUCUCAGGCGAAAGAAGGGUGAGAAAUGGUGGUCUCAGUCAUACUAGAUUGCGUUGUUCCAUCAUCUUCCUCAUCCCGGGUCGUCGACUAUGCUGGCGGCUGGCCUUCCAUGGAGAAACCUAAAAGCAAGUCAUCAAAAUCUUCAAGUGCUCCAAUCCUGGUCUUUCACUUCCCUGUUAACUCCUACCGCUCUCGCCUGUAGUGGUUGAGUUAAUUGCUUGAGGAGUGAGAUGGAGUUUUGUUUUCAUUUACAGUUUGAUGAGUGAUUUGCAAUAACUUCAUACAAGAAUAUUGUAUGCAAUGAAAGAGCUAUUUUUGAUUGAUUUGUUUUUUCUUAAGAUUUCUCCUAUAUCUUGUUCUCAGAUCCCUUUACCUUGUUUACCUCCUUUCCUGAAGUUCAGAUUUUCUUCAUCCAACACACUGAUAAGUGGCUCUGAGCCUGCCUAAUGACCUCGAAGAUCAAUGGGUUCUUCAUUUACUUUUCUUUUCGUCUAUGAGCAAUGAACUAGAGAUCAGUGAAUGAAAGAAAAAAAGGAAAUGUCAUAGAAAGUAUGCAACAUUGCAGAAGAAAAGAAGAUGAAGCUGUAAAUAUAUACGUAUAUUGACCAGUUGAUGACAAUUUGAUCCAUUGAUGAUUUAAUUUAAACCUUACCAGAGCGAUCAAUUGAACUGCUAUUAACUAUUUGAUUGAGAAAAACCAAGGGCAUGUUUCCCAAUGUGGAUCCUAUCAGUUAGGUUAGUUGGUCAUUGCGUGGUAAUAAAUAUCAGUAACGAAAUGUGAGACAUUACAGAGAAUUGCUAAAGAUUAGUGAAAAAUCUUUAAUUCUUGGUGACUAAGAAAAACUUAGAUUAAUGUUGCUAGAAGUAUUGGAGGUCAUAGAAGUAAGUCAAAGUUCUCAAGGAACUCAUGAGGAUGACUUCCUCCGAGUAGGGUCAAAGCAGCCACAAGGGUAGGAAGCAGGAGGCCAGGAACCAUCCAAGCAAUACUAUAAAUUGGGAACAUGGGCAUAUAUCAUUUGGCUUUUCUUGCUAUAUAUACAAGAAAAUUAACCACCCCAAUCCCACUAUAAACACAGAAUCAUCUUCACUCAAAUUUCAUCACCAACCUUCUGGAUCAUAAUUUUCUCGGACAAGGAAGAGCAGAAACCAAGUCAAUUACAAUGGUGUUUUCAGCCAUCUUGAGUUGUUUUUGGCUUAGUGAAGAGGUGAAAUCUAACAGCAAAUCAUCAAAACCUUCACAAGCUCCAAUACUGGUUUCUUACUUCCCUGUCAGCCUUCCUCUCUCGCUUGUAGUACUUUAAUUACGAAGGAGAGAUCACCUGCUGAAUCAUAAAGGCAGAAAUGGUUUAUUCAUCUGUUAUAUUGAUCAACUCAUGGGGUUUUUUAAUGUAUAAAUUCAUUAAUUCACGAUUGAUUUGUAAAUUAAUUUGAUUGAAGCACACAUAUUAUAUAAGAUUAUUGUUUCUUGAUGAUAAUUAAGCUAAUCAUCAUAUAUACCUUUCCUAAUUAUAGAAAAACCAGGGCUUGUUUGGAAACGGUUGUGAAAAAUAAUUUUUGAGAACAAGUUUUACAAAUUGUUUUAUAAUAUUUUGUAGAAAAAAAAGUUUAUUUAAAAACUUGAAAUGUUUUUAAUAUUUUCAAAAUAAUUUUUAUAAUUAUUUUUUAAAAUAACUCUAAAAAAUAUAAGUGAAAACAAUUAAAAACUGUUUUAUAAAAACACCAUAUUUUCUAAUUUGUCAAACAUAUUUUCUAGUUUUUUGUUUCUGAAAAACAGAAAAUUAUUCUCCAAAAGAAUUGCUAAACAAACUCUAGACUACUUCAAUCCUCAUUUGUAAUUAUCUUGAUUAAUAAUAUUGUUGUGUUCCUUCGGCUAUUACCAAUUGGCAACACUUGACCCAACAUUUGAUAUUAGAGUUCUAAUUAAUAUAUAAUUAAAAUUUUCUAAUUAUGUGUAAUUUAAUGAUGGGAUAUUAUUGAACAGCAUCAUAAAAAAAAUUUAAUAUUAACUAGAUUUAUCACUUAAAAUAUUGAUAACAUUAUUUUUUUUUUAUAUAUAUUUCAUCUAUGUCAUUUACCUUGAUGCCGUGAUGAAUACUUCUACUAUUACUUAAGUUGAUAAAGUCAAAAAAUAUUGUUAUGUACUGAGAGUGACUUUCUUCCUCCAUGGUCAAAGCUGGCACAUGCCAUAGGAAGUGGAAGCUCACGAGCAACAUGGGUACUUAUCAUUUGACUAAGAUAAAAUUAAUUAGGAUAAAUAUUAAUAAAAUUAAAAAAAACAGGUAAAUAUUUUAAUUUGAUAAUUAAAAAAUAAAUUAAUUUUAUCGAAUAAUAAAAAUCAAAUAAUAAGUUUUAAGUUUACAAUUUAAGAAUAAUUUAAUUUAAAAUUAAUUAAGUUAUUAAAUAUAAGUAUUAAAUUUUACCAAAAUGUCAUUUUCACCUCGUCUUGAUGAAGCCAUUAAGUAUUUAACAUUAGUCAUUGAAUUCUUUUUGGAUCAUUUUGAAACCCAAUGAUGUUGGAGAAAUGUUGAUGAUUUAUUGUUUGGUAUGUUUUAAGGUUAAAUAUUUAGGGUUCAAGGUUUAAAAUUACUAUUUAGGGUUUCAUUAUCUUUUAAUUCAACAACACUUGUAUUAUCAAAUAUUUGAAUACUUAAAGCUUCUAUUAUUCAUCAGUCUUUGAAAAUGAUGUGUAUUUAUUGUAGAGGCCACAACAAAAGCAGUAAUACUGAAUACUUCCUACUAUCCUGACCAGUUCUUAAAGUCCAAAUGAAAUGAAAAUCUUGUGACACUGAAAGUGACUUUCUUCCGAAAUAGUCAGAGCAGCCACAACUGAUGGAAAUUCAAAGGAUCCAACUCACAAUUUUCACAAGAAACAUGGUCAGUUGGACUUCAAUUGCUUUAUAUUCAAGAUAUUAAGUGAUUUUAGCACCGAGUAAAUAUCGGAUUGCCCUCAAGUAGGAUGUCUUAUUUUUCCAAAAUAUAAAUAAAUCCCCUUAAUUAGGAAGAAAGCUUGAGAAUCACAUCUAAUGAUAAGCAUUAUCCUAACAUAUUUAUUUAGUCUUCUCAAGGAGACUUAGUUAAUAUAUAUGUUUUUCUUCAUUGGUUUGGUCCCACCCUCUAUUUGUUUGUUCCCUAGAGCUGGUUAGACUAGUCAAAAUUUGAAAGGUGGUGUAAUUUGACACGACUUUUCUUCAAAGACAUGGACACCACAGCACCAAAGUUUAGUUGUUGGGUCUUUUUCUAUAGUCGGAUUAAGCCACUUGCUGCCACGAGUCUCACAGGAAGGUCCAGGGAAUUGACCCAUCUCAUAUAUUUAUCAUUUAUCUUUCCUUGCUAUGCAAGUAAAUCAACCCUACUUCCAUUUCAAAUCUGCUGUAUAAAUAAAGAAGCAUCUUAGCCUAAUAUUUCAUCAAAUAUCAGACACUUUCUCUCAUUUCUAGUUUUCUCUGCAGGCAAAUUAAGAAGGUUAAAAAUGGUGUUCUCGGCCAUACUAAGUUGCUUUGUUCCAUCUUCUUCCUCGACCCGAGUCUUCAAUGAUGCUGGUGGGUCUAGUUUGAAGGAACCUAAGAGCAAGUCAUCGAAAUCUUCAUCAAGAGCUCCGAUCCCGGUCUCUUACUUCCCUGUUAACUCCUACCUCUCUCGCUUGUAGUGAUUAAUUUGAUCGCAAGUUGGAGUUAGACUUUGAAGAGUACCAAUGGAUUAUUGAUUCAGUUUAUGUAUUAUAUGAUGGGGUUCCUCAUCAUGCAGUUGCUUGAGGAGUGAUGAUGGAGUUUGUUUUAAUGUACAGUUUGAUGAUUAAUUUGCAAUAAUUAGAUUCAAGAAUAUUGUUAAUUUCCUCCAACUGCAUGCAAUGAAACAACUCUUUUUAAUAUAAAGUUGGGUAUGAUGAUACCAUGAAAUUACCUGCAACCAAAUAAGACAUUAACCCCAACUGAACUUCCUUGUUGUUUCUCAAUUUGAUCAGUAAAGGAGGAAGUCUUAAAAAAGCCAAUGGAAAAUGACCCCACCAUUUUAGAGAAACACUAGGUGAAAUUUGAUCCACAGAAUCUUCUAUACAUAUUUUAAAGUUGUGAGUGUCUCUUAAACCUAUAAUGGACAAUAUCUAUGUGAGAGAUGACAAGUUAUUAUAAAUAAUAUUAGAGUUAAUUCUUUAUCCGUGAAAGUUUGUUUGACCUUGUAAAUGGUUUUUAUCUUUUUGUUAUCAUAAUUCUAUGCAUUACAAUGAGGACGUUGCGUCUUUCUGAAGGCCACGCUAUAUAUGUAUUGAUUUUUCUUCAUUUUAUAAGCAUUCUGAAGGCCACGCUAUAUAUGUAUUGAUUUUUCUUCAUUUUAUAAGCAUUUUUUAAAGUCAUGAGUGUUUAUGAGGCACAAAACGGAUCACUACAAAUAUUUAUAUAGAUUUGCAUUUAAAUCCAAUAAAAUAUUAAAGAAAAGACUAAAACGGAACUUCGGUAUUGUAACUACUUAUGACCUAGUAGUAAACCUGAUUUUAAUAUAUCAUAUUAGAUUAUUUAUUUUUUAAAUACAUAAAUUGUUAGGUAAUAGAUCAACGAUAUAUACUAGACCGUUAACAUUAUCUAUAUAUUUAUCUUUGAAUUGAGCAGCAACAGCGAUUGACAUGCUUGUUGGUGGGACCUAAUUCAACAAUGAAUUGUAUUAUCACAUAUUUUAAUACUUAAAGUUUCUAUAAUUAAUUAGUCUUUGAAAAUGAUACAUAUUUAUUGUAGAGGCUACAACAAAAGCCUCUACAAUUAUUUUUAAGAGAAAUUAUUUAAGGGAUUUUUUGUAAUAAGAACAUGAAAUAAUAAUUUAUUUUUUUUCAUAUGUUAUAUUCUAACAAAAAAAAGUCCUUUAUUUUUUCAAAAAAGCGUCUAUUUCAUAAAUUAAUAUUAGUGAUUUUCUAGAUUUUUAAAAAUUUACUAAGCACAAUAUUAAAAACUUUUGUAUUCUAGGGAAGUCAUGAGACUUGGUCAAGAUAUGGAAUAUGGGAUGACGUUAAGCCUGAGAAAGAAAAUAUAAUUUCCCGGAAUAAGUAAAAGUAGGAUGUCUAAGGAAGAAAGCAUGAGAAUCACAUUGGAUGAUUAGUUUUAUCCUAUCAUAUUUAUUUAAUCUUAUUCCAAAGGAGACUUUAACUAAUAUGUUUUAAUUUUCUUCAUUGUUUUGGUCCCACCCUCUAUUUGUUUGUUACCUAGACCUUCCCAUUUUUGCUAGAAGGUUUUCUUCUUCUGGGUCAGACUAAUCAAAAUUUCAAAAGUUUAGUUGUUGGGUCUUUUUCUAUAGUCAGAUCAAGGUAGCAGCAGCUGCCACGAUUGUCACAGGAAGCUCAAGGGAAUCAACCAUCUCAUAUAUUUAUCGUUUAGCUUUCCUUGAUAUGCAAGUAAACCAACCCUACUACCAUUUCAGAUCUGCAUUAUAAAUAGAGAAGCAUAUGUUAGCCUAAUAUUUCAUCAAAUAUCACACACUUCCUCUCUUUUCUAGUUUUCUCUGCAGGCAAAUCAAGAAGGGUUAAAAAUGGUGUUCUCAGCCAUACUAAGUUGCUUUGUUCCAUCAUCUUCCUCGUCCCGAGUCUACAAUGAUGCUGGUGGGUCUAGUGUGAAGGGCCCUAAGAGCAAGUCAUCGAAAUCUUCAUCAAGAGCUCCGAUUCCGGUCUCUUACUUCCCCGUUAACUCCUACAUCUCUCGCAUGUAGUGAUUAAUUAAUUUCACUGCAAGGUGGAGUUAGAAUUUGAAGAGUAUGAAUGGAUCAUUGAUUCAGUCUAGGUAUCAUAUGAUGGGGUUCUUCAUCAUGCAGUCGCUCAAGGAGUGAUGACGGAGUUGGUUUUCAUGUACAGUUUGAUGAUUGAUUUGCAAUAAGUUGAUCGAAGAAUACUGUAUUAGAUCUUCAUCUUGUUAAUUUCCUCCAACUGCAUGCAAUAAACAGUUCUUUUUAAUAGAAAGUUGGGUACGAUGAUACCAUGAAAUUACCUGCAACCAAAUAAGACAUCAGCCCCUACUAUGAAAAUUGAGAAACAACAAAAGAGUUCACUUGGGGUUUCCAUUGGAAAGAAUCGGUACUUGAAAUAUUGGCAAUCAGUGAUUACCAUAUGUAUAACUGCUAAGUAAACCCUAGAAUCAGUUAGGGUUUAUCAUCAUCGAAGACAAAGGUUGUUCGAAUCAUAUAUUAAGCAAAAACUACUUACAUUAUACAGAUGAUGAUCAGUAAGGGAAGAAGUCUUAAAAAAGCCAAAGGAAACUGAACCUACGAUUUUGGAGAAAUUAGGGUGUAAUUUGAUCCACAAGGUGAUGACUGAUGACUAGAUAUGCAUGGUGGGAUUUGCCCCAGCGGUCCAUGAUGAUAGAAGGCUAUUAUCCUUUUACACAAGCACUAAAAGAAAAAGGAUAAAUUAAGUCGCCUUGCUUUGUCCUUUCAUCCGCCCAAAAUUCUUGCAAUAUGCACCUCAAAUCAAACCUAAGAGUAUCAAUCACUCUCUUUCUCUCCAUCCAUUAAAAAGUAUUAAUUUCAAACUUGUGAUAUCUCACAUGUUGGAAGUAGAUUUGUAUAGGUUUUUUAAUUUUGUAGAUGUACUUUAAAGUUGUGAGUGUCUAUUAGACUCACAAGGAAUAAUAUCUAAAUGAGAAAUAGCAAGUCAUUACAAAUGAUAUUAAAGUUGAUCAUCGAUCUUAAUAUGAGAGUUUAUUUGACCCUGCAAGAGAUCUUUUUAUUUCUAUGAUCUUAUGAGAUACAACGAGAACGUUAUGCACUUAUAUGAGGGUGUAUUAUAUAUGUAAUGAUUCUUCUUCAUCUUAUAAAUAACUUUUAAAGUUGUGAGUGCGUAUGAGACCCAAAACGGAUCAGUACAAAUAUUUAUAUAAACUUAUAUUUAAAUCCAUUAAAAUAUUAUUUGUUAUAUUAAAAUAAAUUGUUGUUUUUUAAAUGAAUUGGAAAUAUUUUGAAGUGUUUGUUCAUAAAGAAUUUUGAUAAAUAAUUGAAGAUAUGAAGAUUAAUUGUAGGGGACUCGUGACACGUAUUCAACAUAUCAAAUAUAAUUACUGAAUAAACAGCCAAAAAAAUAAAUGUAAAAAAUAAAAAAAAUACCAGGGCACCAGCUGAGAGAUGUGGAAGGGUCUUUAUCGGCCAAGAAGAGGAUGAGAUUGGCCUUGUUCUUCGGCGCUUCUGAUCUGAACUUCUCCAGCACGCCGUCGAACGUCGACACAGUGGCGUCCACCAUUUUCAGCGGCGUAUUCGCUUUUUCUCAGGGGUAUUUUGGGAAAUCUAGACAAUAUCAUUGCUUGACAACAAUGGCAUUCGUCUGUGCUCCUUUUACAGGUUUUAAGCUAAAAUUUGCCCACCCACAGGUGGUGAAAUUCCUGAUAUGCCCUUCAUAUUGGAGUCACCAAAAUCUCCAUGACAUAGUAUAUCACAUUUAUGUCAAAUUUGGAGCCAAUGAUAUAUUUUGUGGUUUUAAAGUUCAUUAUAUACUUAGAAAGGCUUAGAAUACAAAUUUGAUAAGGUCAAACAAUGAUAUUUUUCUAAAAAUUUUUGUCCUACGAGGUGGGCACACAUACCUAGAAAAGCCUAAAUCCUUGACAUUAUGCAAUCUUACUUUACAAGAUGGUAGCAAAUAAUUAAUUAUUUUUCAAACACCGUAUCCCCUUAAAUAUUAUAGUUGGUUCAAUAAGUGGUAGAGUCAGGAUUUCAAUUAGGGGACUAACUCUUAAGACAUAUGUAAAUUUUGCUGAUCAUAAAAGAUGUGGGCUUUGACCCAAUAACCCAUCCUUGGCAUUUUCUAAGGGGGGGCAUAAGUUGGUUUGGGGUGGGAAGUGGAGAUGGCUGGUUUCACCCUUGGGUUCAGUCAUUGUAUUGAUUGAUCCAAUGAAGAAUAAUAUUUAGUAUUGACAUUUGCCUUCAUAAAUGAGCUUAAUAGUAUUAUCUUGGUGAGUGCAAUCCAAUAAUUAACUUGAUAUGUGUUUUUCAUAAAAUUUUAUGUAUCUUUUUAUAUUUGCCCUUUACUACCAAAUGUCAUUGUUCAUUUUGAAUUUUUUUCUUCUAUAAUGAAUAAAUACUUUUAAUUUAAUAUAAAAUUAUAAUUAAUCAUAUCAUUUUUUAGAACAUGUAGUAAUAGUAAAUAUGUGUUAACGUCUUUGAAUCCGGGACUCGCUUUCUAUGAUAAAAAGAAUAUACCAUUAACAUUAUGAAAUGAUUUUUGAAACUCCCACCAAUCAACAUUAAUUAGUUAGUCCUUUUUAGUUAGAGAGUUAAUUUUACUAAGACCCCUAGGGUGUAAAUACGUACACAUAACCAUUAUUAAUUUUAAAUUUUGUCACUAAGUGUCUUUGUAAAUUUAUUUUGUUUAUACAAUUUAUUUUUUAAAGAGAUUUUAAGGAAGUGUAAUUAAUAAUUUUUUGAAAAAUAAGUUUUAUUCUUAAAUUUUUUUUAUAUAUGAAAUACAUUUAUAGAAGUGCUAAUUGAUAGAAUUUGAAACUAAUGAUGGUUUAAUGUAUUUAUACUGAACCUUGGGAUGUGAAUGAAACUAGCCCUUAGCGAAAUAGGGUUGAGGAGUUAAACAUGCAUGGGUUGAUUGUAUUAAGGAUGAAAAGUACUAUUAAGUUCUUGGAGACCAAGCAAAACUUGGUUAAUACUCCUAGAAUCAUCAGGUGGUCGGACUAGAAGUCAAAAGUUUUGGAGGAAUUGAAAACGACUUCCUCAAACUACAGACACAAGUGUGGGAAACAGGAAGGAAUUAAUUAACCAUCUAAGCUGGGGAGAUGGGGACACAACAUUUGAAUUUCCUUGCUAUACAAGAAAAUUAGUCCAACUUCACAGUAUAACACAUCAUCAUCUUCAUUCAAAUGUCAUCACUACUCACACUUCAGCUAGCUAGCUCUUGGCUUCUCAAACACUCACUUCCCUUAACUUCUGAAUAGAAAAAUUAAGGAGAAUUAAGGGUGAUUCAACAAUGGUGCUCUCAGCCAUUCUAAGUUGUUGUCUGCCAUCAUCAUCGUCGACUCUGCCUCGGGUGUCCGAUGAUGGUGGUGGGUCAAGAUGUGACAUUAGGCAAUCUUACCUUGCAAGAUUGUGGUUAGAUUGUAGAAUAAGCUAGCUAAUUUACUAUUUAUCAAACACUUUUUUCCCUAUAAAUUGAACUUUUUAAGUUAACUUAAGCCCCAUCUAAAGUUAUUAUAGCUACUAAUUAGCAAUCACAUCUCCCUUUCUAAUGGGAUUCUUAUCAACCAUUUUCAGGUGUUUGAUGUCUUGUUUUUCAAGCAAUGAAGCAAGAAAAUCUCCAGAGAAGCCUAAGAGAAAAUCAAAGUCAUCUAGGGCUCCCAUUGUGGUCUCUUCCUUCCCUGUCAACUCAAAUCUUUCUUGCUUAUAGCAUGCUGAAAUUUGAAAUGUAGUUGGUUCAAUCAUGGUAUGGACUGAUCUAUAAUUAAUGGCAAUGAAGCCAUGGUAUUGAUAGUUGCCUUUGCAAAUGAGCUUAAUGUUCUUAUAUAUCUUGGUGAGUAUAAUUCUAACUAUUUGAUCUGUCUUUUGAAUAUGAUUUAUGGUAUUUUACCCUACUGCAUGCCUUUGCUUUGGUUACCUCCUUGUGUGAACUGCCCAAUGGUCAUAAAGAUUAAUGAGUUUAAGCCUUGUUACGUUUACCCAUGCACAAAUUUGUAAUGUCAUUCACUUUGAAUUAAUUUCUUGGUGUAGACGUAUGAAACAAAAACUCUUUAUAUGAUACAAAAUUAUAGCUCUUAUCAUUUUUAAGACACGAUGAUGGAGGACGACAUCAUUCACUGCUUGAAGACCAAGCAAAACUUGGGGAAUACUCCUAGAAUUAUCAGGCGCCACACAAGUCAAAAAGUUAUGAAGGAAUAUUGAAAAUGGCUUCCUCAAUCUAGAGUCAAAGCAGCCACUAGUGUAGGAAACAGGAAGGAAUUUACCAUCUAAACAAUAUCACAAGCUGGGAAGAUGGGCACAUACCAUCUGGCUUUCCUUGCUAUGCAAGAAAAUGAGCCCAACUUCCAUUUCAAAUUAAACUUCCACUAUAAAUAUGUAGAAUCGUCUUCAUUCAAAGCUCAUUAAUACAAACUCACACUUCAGCUCUUGGCCUCUCAAACCACUUUGUUUAAUUUCUGAAAGCAGAAGGAGAAGGGUGAUUGAUCAACAAUGGUGUUCUCAGCCAUCAUAAGUUGUUUUCUGCCAUCAUCAUCGUCAUCUCGGGUGUCUGAUGAUGCUGGUGGGUCAGGCUCAAAGGUGCCUUCCAUGGGGAAAGACAAGAUGAGCAAAUCAAAUUCUUCAGGAGCUCCAAUAGUUCUUUCUUACUUUCCAUUGAACUCCUAUCUCUCUCGCUUGUAGUUGUACUACUAAUUGCAUUCUGAGGAAAGGGGAGUUGAAUUUGCAGAAGGUAUCAAUGGUUAAUUUCUUCAGCUCAAUGAUGUUAUGUGGAUCAGUUAAUUAAUGGGGCUUCUUGAUCAGUCAGUUCAGAGACCACACACCAUGGGGCAGUUGCUUAUGGGGUGGUGAUGUUGAAGGAAGAACAGCACUCAUGUACAUAUAGUUUGAUGAUUGAUUUGUAGUUUGAUUGAAGCAUAUCAUGUAAGAUCAUGGGUCCUUUAUUUUUAUUAGUAAUAUCCUGAUGAAUAAAAUUCAAGUGUAAUCCAAUUGUUUGAUUUGUGUUUUGGUAAGAGUUCUUAUUUCAUGUUAAUCCAUAUCCAAAUUCUUGUGCUUAACUUAAUAUAUUCAACAUAUUUUCAAUUAUAUCUUCGAAUUCAAUAAAAAAGACGAAGAAGAAGAGGAAAAUCCCUCAAAUUUGAAAUAAAAUACAACUUUAUUUUCAAAAUAAAUUCUCAAAACUAUUUUUAGUCCAAAAUUUAUUCUACCUAUGCUUUAAUUUGAAUUUUUUUUUUAAUUUUUCAAAAAUAGAAAAUCAUUUUAAAAAUUAAUUAUAACUUACCAUAAAGAACUGAUCUUCAAAUUUGAUCUAAUAUCAUGAUCCCUUUUUUGGUAUGAUCUCAAGUAUCUUGUUCUUAUCAUAUAUAAAAAAAAUGUUCUUAAAUUAAUACAAAAUGAUGAUAUGUCAUGUCACUUGAGAUACUUUCGAAAUGAUAGAAUAGAUAGAUUAGAAUUAGAAACCAGGAUCAUAGAAAUAAAAAAUUUAUUAUUAUGAAAAUCAAAGUCAACUUUUACAAGAAUCUUAUCCUUUUCUUACACAAUAUAUUAUGAUAGAUCUUCAAUAUUUUCACUUUUAUUCUUGCAUUCCAAACACUUCUAGAGAAUUUGCAUUCCAAAAUCAAAGCCAACAUUAGAGAACUUGUCACCUAGAAAGUUAGGUCUUUUUUAAUUCUCACAUUGAAGAAGCAUGGACCAUGUUUUUGUAUUUUAAUUAAAAUUGUUUCCAAUAAUUUUAUAUAGAUAUUAUCAGUCAUUCUGCUAGCUGGUCAUUGCAACCUCACAGCACAUGCCCACAUACUAAUAAAUAUCAGAAACUUCUUCCUAGCUAGGUAAUGUGGGGCAUGGCAAAUAAUUGAUAAAAAAUGAGAAGUCUUCAAUUCUUGGUGACCAAGAAAAACUUAGGUUAAAGCAACCACAGGAGUAGGAAGCAGAAGGCAACCAUCUGAUCAACAGUACUAUAAGUUGAGAACAUAGGCACACGUAUCAUUUGGUUUUUCUUGCUAUACAAGAAAAUCAUCCCAAUCCCAUUAUAAAUACAGAAUUAUCUUCACUCAAAUCUCAUCAUCAACCUUCUAUUUCAUAAUUUUUCAGACAUAGGAAGAGCAAAAACGAAAGAAGAAAAAAGACACGUAAAUCAUAACGGUAUUCUUUAUUAAUCUCAUCUUACACAUACAAACAUAUAUAUAUAAAGAAAAAUAAAAUUUUAACGUAAUUGAUAAUUGAUAUGAUUCCUAUGCUCACGGAAUACAUCAACACUCAAGAAUCUACUUCAUUUGACACGUAUAAGCAUAAAUAAAAAAAAACAAAAUUUUAAUAUAAUUGAUAAUUAAUAUGAUUCCUAUGUCCAUGGAAUGUUCCGAUACUUUAAGUUUGAAAUAUUAGGCAGGUACCAUAGUGUGGGGUUAUCCUAUUGUAUUUGCAUGCACCUCAAGACCCAAUACCUUGUGGCAUGACUUAGGUUAGAUAGUACAUUAUUUGGGAUAUCCAUGGUACAACCUAAUUACUUUGAUUUGUAGGAAUCUACAUAUAAUCUCAAUUGAUUUCAAACAAUUAAUUUGAUUUAGAAAAUUGAUGAGUUUAAUUACCAGGCACAUAAACUAUUUCUUCCACAAACAUAAUUGUGUCAUACAUCUUAUGGAUAAAUUACACUAGUGACUAUAAGACCAUGAUUAAAAUUUUUAUCCAAACAAUUAUAAAAAUUAUGGUUGAUAUUUAAACAAUUUUUUUUAUUAAUAAAAAAACUAUCCUAAAUGAGAUUUAAAGAAGGUAACAUCACUGAUUUGAUUGCCUCCGCUAUUGCAUUGUUACCUUACUUUUGUACUCAUCUAAGUCAAUUGCCCAACCAAAAUAAUGAUUUACUAUUCUUAAUGACCACACGACAUUCAUUAGUAGAUAAUGCGUCACACCUUCUUUGAAGAUGGGCAGGCUAAGGAAUAUUCUUAAACCAUAAGUAAUUUAAUUAUAGAAUAUUCAUUUAUAGAAACUCAGUCACACCAGUUAGCUAGGCAACAAAUCAUACAUUCUCAUUUGACUAUAAAUGAAAGUUAUAAUAGCUUCUAAACAUAUAUAUAUAUAUAUAUAUAUAUAUAUAUAUAUAUAUAUAUAUAUAUAUAUAUAUAUAAACAUAGUAAAGAUAUAGUUAUAAGUGAUGUUUGUUUUUUGGUUAAAUAGAAAAAGCCAAAUAUUUUGGUUUUUUCUAUUCAGUUAAAAGUAACUAAUUGACAUCAACCAACAUCAUUAAACUAAACUUAUUGAGAAUAAGUUCACUUUAAUUAUGUUGGUUAGUACCAAUAAGAUACUUUUAGCUGAAUAGAAAAAAUCAAAAUAUUUAGCUUUUUCUAUUCAGCCAAAAAAUAAAUACCAUUAUAGUGUUUUAAAUUCUUUAGUAGAUAACGAGGUAGGAUUAAAAAUAAUUAUUUUUCCCAUUCAAUUGAUUUGUGUUUGACAACUUUUUCUAAAUAUUUUUUUAUAUUAAAAAUAAGUGUAAUUUUGGUUUUUGUUUUUAUAAAAUUUAAUUUAAGAAAUAUUUACUUUUGACAUCAUGUUAUUUUCAAAUGUAAAUUCGAUCUGGGGUUUGUCAGCUUUAUUCAAUAUGGUUAAAAAUUACAUCUAAUUUUUGUAUAUUUUUCAAAUUGAGACUUUUAGUUCAUAUGAUAGUGAUUUUAGAAAAUCCUUAUAUUUUUUUUAAUAUUUAAUAUUUUUUAUCUUUUAAAUGUUAAAAAACUAAAAACACUUUCUAUAAUAUUAUCAAACACACUCAUAUCCAAUAUGUUUUUUUUUUCCACAUAUUUGAUCCACACUUCCAAUAAUUAUGGUCAAAGACACUCAUCGCUGAUAUGGUUUUUUAUGUACUUAUUUCAUCCUUUGUGUAUAUUUUUCGAAGUAUUAAAAAUACUUUCUAUAAUCACCGUUAAAUACACAUAUCCUAUAUGUUUUUUUUUUUAAAUAUUUGGUCACACUUCCUAUGACCACGGUUUAAGAGCCUCGUAUCCUAUAUGUUUUUUUUUACAAAUUUGGUCCCACCCUGUCUGUAUGUUCCCCGAAGCUUCCCACUUUCUCUAAAAAGAUUUAUUCUUAAACUCAAGGGGAACCAUGUCAUAUAUGAUUUGGCUUUCCUUGCUCUGCAAGUAAAUCAAAUCCACCUCCAUUUCUUAUUUCAAAUCUGCACUAUAAAUAGGGAAGCAUCGAACCCUAAUGUUUCAUCAAGUAUCUCACACUUCCUCUCAUUUCUAGUUUUCUCUCAGGAGAAAGAAGGGUGAAAAAUGGUGGUCUCAGCCAUACUAGAUUGCGUUGUUCCAUCAUCUUCCUCAUCCCAGGUCGUCGACUAUGCUGGUGGCUGGCCUUCCAUGGAGAAACCUAAGAGCAAGUCAUCAAAAUCUUCAAGGCUCCAAUCCUGGUCUUUCACUUCCCUGUUAACUCCUACCACUCUCGCCUGUAGUGGUUGAGUUAAUUGCUUGAGGAGUGAGAUGGAGUUUUGUUUUCAUUUACAGUUUGAUGAGUGAUUUGCAAUAACUUCAUACAAGAAUAUUGUAUGCAAUGAAAGAGCUAUUUUUGAUUGAAUGUUGGGUAUGUUUGAUGCCAUGAAAUUAAUUACCAGCAACCAAACAAGACAUGGAACCCUAGUUUGAAAAUUCAGAAACUAACAACAAAAGUUCAGUUGGGUAAUGAAUAGCAGUCAGUGAUGGCAUAUGGGUAAUAGUUAAUUAGAGUCACUAUUAAUUCAGGGUUUAGAGUUUAAAGUUUAUACUUAGUUGUUGGACACACAUAAAGAUCUAUAAAGAAUUCUUAAAAAAUCAUUUAAAAAUAAAUAAAACAAUAAGUUAUUUUAAUAUAAGAAAAAUUUUAAAAUGAUUAAUUUUUUUUAUAAUCAUUUUAAAAUUUAAAUAUUUUUAAUUUAUUUUUAAGCUUUUAAAAUGAGAAAAUAUCAAUUCUCGGAAAUUUUAAAACACUACAAAUAAUGUAAAUUGUUGGUGAUCGGAGAGCAAACUCCAACAUUAAAGACCUUUUCUCACUGAAGAUACUCUCUUUCCACACAAUGGUUGUUUUUUUUAACAGACUUGCCUAUUAAAAAAGGGUCAAACACCAUGUUGACAAAGGGGAGACUAAUGAUCUAAAAACUAAAAACAUUUUGUGCUGAAAAGCCCAGGAGAGGACUAAGCCAAAAAUUAAAUAUUUGGAAAGGGGAAAAUUUUAGGGGAUAUGUUGGAUAUCAAAUUUGUAAUCUUGGUAGUCAUUUGAAAUAUAUAAUGAAAUAUAAGUUGUUUGAUAUUUAUAGUUAUUUUCAUGAAUAAUGAUGGUCAUGAGGUCUUUUUGCGACGUCUAGGAAGCAAGCACGUGGAGUUAAAUAAGCAAAGUUGCAUGAGGCUUGGGGGUGCAAGCCUAUUUCGAUCAAUCCAAAGUUUGAGGCUGAUCGAGGGAAUUAGAGAUAUUCAAAUGAGUUCAAAUAUAUACAUAUUUUUAAAUUAUGUACUCAUUGAGGAUUAAUUUCAUACAUUUUCAAAAGAUUUGGAUGCCGUUUUCCUAGUUGAAAAUUUUGAAAUUUUUUUAAUGGAAAAUAAGAAAAAUGUUGAAAGAGCUUAUGUAACAUUUUUCCAAAAUACUACACUAGGAGGACACCACCUUAUAACUUGAUGUCAUUUUCCCAUUCCCUGGUGUCAUUUUGUGCUGAAGAUGAGCUAUGUACACCCCAAAAAAUGGCAAGGUCACUUUAUGCUCUACUACCAUUCCUCACUCCCUGCCACCAUUUCAUGCUAAAACUCCAAGACAAUAUGAGCCCACCAUUUUUGGACCUUUCGAGUUCACCAUUGGAUCUCUUAUAUUGUUUUUGAUACGUUAACGAGGUACUUAUGACACAUGGGAACACCUAUAUAAAGCCAUUUUGCAGUUAAUGAAGGGGGCGCCUUUGAGGAGAGCCUUUGGGCUACUAGCUUGGGGAGGAGACCAGCUUGUUCCAGCUUGCAUGCUUUAUUUGCUCGACGCUUUGCUCAUUUUAGUAAUUUGGUAAAGUUUUGAACUCACUGCUCUUGAUUAUACUUGAUUGUAACUACCAUUAAUAUUUGGUUUUGAAGUUGAAUUUGAAUGAUUGUAAUAGGUACUUUCUUAUGCUCUGAUUUUGUUCUUCACUUUGGUUAUAUUUUUGUGGCUUUUGAGUAGUAGUUUAGGUUGAGGAGAAGGGGGUUCUUAGGACCUCCAUUGUGUUUAUGAAAUGGACUCUUAAAUUCUAAGUGUUUGAUGAUACAGUCAGCAUGUGAGCUUUGUUUUUAAUUAGAAUAUCAAUAUUCCUUAAUAUUUGAAAAUUGAAGUUUGGGGGACCCUUAAGGGUAUCUUAAGUACUUAAUGGUUGAAAGUCAUUUUGACUUGAAAUGACUGUUAUUGAACCUCUAAUUAUUUGAUAACAAAUGGUAGUGGAAGCUUCAAUGUGAUAUCAUAUGGAGUUUCAAUUCACAAGUAUGAGACAUUGGGUUUGAUUAAAAUGUGCUUGUGUUGCAAAUCCUCUAACUAAGAAUACCUAUUGGUGACCUUAAUUGUGUCAAUUUCAUUAAGGGCUAUUUCAUGAAAACAAAGGAGUUCCAAGAGAUCUCCUAAUCCUUGACACUUUUUUAGCCUCCUGUUAAUAAUCUUUCCAAUUCCAUUGCACACCUAACAUCUUUUUCCUUUGGUUUGACUCUCUGACUCAUGGAGAUAUUAAAAUGGCAAUGUACUCCUUAUUGUUACAUACGCAUUACGAAGGAUGAAAAGUAUCCAAUUCUUGAAGACCAGGCAAAACUUGGUGAAUACUCCUAGAAGUAUCAGGUGGGUAACAUUAGAAGUCAAAAAGUUGUGAGAAACGGAAUUGAAAAUGACUUCCUCAAACUACGGUCAAAGCAGCCACAGGUACGUAGGAAACAGGAAGGAAUUUACCAUCUAAACAAAAUCACAAGCUGGGAAGAGGGGCAUGUACCAUCUGGCUUUCCUUGCUAUGCAAGCAAAUUAGCCCAACUUCCAUUAACUCCACUAUAAAUAAAGAACCAUCUUCAUUCAAAUCUCAUCACUACUUACACUUCAGGUAGCUCUUGGCCUCUCAAACCACUCACUUUCCUUGACUUCUGAUCAAAAGAAAAUAGGGAGAAUCAAGGGUGAUUCAACAAUGGUGUUCUCAGGCAUUUUAAGUUGUUUUCUGCUAUCAUCAUCAUCUUCAUCGCCUCGGGCGUCCGAUGAUGCUGGUGUGUUAAGCCCAAAGAAGCCUUCCACGGUGAAAGACAAGAGCAAAUCAAAAUCUUCGGGAGCUCCAAUUGUGGUGUCUUACUUCCCAGUGAACUCCAAUCUCUCUCGCUUGUAGUAGUACUAACUGAAUUGUAAGGAAAGAGGAGUUGAAUUCAAGAAGGGUACCAAUGGUGUUUAUUAAGUUCAAUGGUGUUAUGUGGAUCAGUUAAUGGGGUUUCUUGAUCAGCCAGUUGAGAAACCAGACCCUGGCGCAGUUGGUCAGGGAAGAAUAACACUGAAAAUAGUAAUAUCAGUUGUAUAUAUAGUUUGAUGAUUGGUUUUUAAUUUGAUUAAAGCAUGCAUAUGGUAUAAGAUCAUGGUUUCUUGAUUUGUUUUUUCUUAAGAUUUCUCCUAUAUCUUGUUCUCAGAUCCCUUUACCUUGUUUACCUCCUUUUCUGAAGUUCAGAUUUUCUUCAUCCAACACACUGAUAAGUGGCUCUGAGCCUGCCUAAUGACCUUGAAGAUCAAUGGGUUCUUCAUUUACUUUUCUUUUCGUCUAUGAGCAAUGAACUAGAGAUCAGUGAAUGAAAGAAAAAAAGGAAAUCUCAUAGAAAGUAUGCAACAUUGCUGAAGA
This 17658-nucleotide long non-coding RNA is filed under the name Vitis vinifera (wine grape). Its description in RNAcentral is "long non-coding RNA (VVIN_LNC004390)". The record is from RNAcentral. Lineage: Eukaryota; Viridiplantae; Streptophyta; Magnoliopsida; Vitales; Vitaceae.